RNAcentral lists this ribosomal RNA (232 nucleotides) under uncultured bacterium. RNAcentral's name for it is "partial small subunit ribosomal RNA". It matches the Rfam family "Bacterial small subunit ribosomal RNA", at positions 26 to 288 of the family's 1533-position model. The record is from RNAcentral.
AGGGCGAACGCUGGCGGCAGGCCUAACACAUGCAAGUCGAGCGCCCCGCAAGGGGAGCGGCAGACGGGAGAGUAACACGUGGGAACGUACCCUUUGGUUCGGAACAACACAGGGAAACUUGUGCUAAUACCGGAUAAGCCCUUACGGGGAAAGAUUUAUUGCCAAAGGAUCGGCCCGCGUCUGAUUAGCUUGUUGGUGAGGUAACGGCUCACCAAGGCUACGAUCAGUAGCU